CGCGUAGGUGGCUAAUUAAGUCAAAUGUGAAAUCCCCGAGCUUAACUUGGGAAUUGCAUUCGAUACUGGCAGGCUUGAGUCUCGUAGAGGGGGGUAGAAUUCCAGGUGUAGCGGUGAAAUGCGUAGAGAUCUGGAGGAAUACCGAUUGCGAAGGCAGCCCCCUGGACAGUGACUGACGCUCAUAUGCGAAAGCGUGGGGAUCAAACAGGAUUAGAUACCCGUGUA
RNAcentral lists this ribosomal RNA (225 nucleotides) under uncultured Thorsellia sp. RNAcentral's name for it is "partial 16S ribosomal RNA". It matches the Rfam family "Bacterial small subunit ribosomal RNA", at positions 568 to 792 of the family's 1533-position model. The record is from RNAcentral. Lineage: Bacteria; Pseudomonadati; Pseudomonadota; Gammaproteobacteria; Enterobacterales; Thorselliaceae.